Molecule: ribosomal RNA, 497 nt
Filed under: uncultured bacterium
Lineage: Bacteria
Description: partial 16S ribosomal RNA
Rfam family: Bacterial small subunit ribosomal RNA
Source: RNAcentral
GAUGAACGCUGGCGGCGUGCCUAAUACAUGCAAGUCGAGCGAACAGACGAGGAGCUUGCUCCUCUGACGUUAGCGGCGGACGGGUGAGUAACACGUGGAUAACCUAUCUAUAAGACUGGGAUAACUUCGGGAAACCGGAGCUAAUACCGGAUAAUAUAUUGAACCGCAUGGUUCAAUAGUGAAAGACGGUUUUGCUGUCACUUAUAGAUGGAUCCGCGCCGCAUUAGCUAGUUGGUAAGGUAACGGCUUACCAAGGCAACGAUGCGUAGCCGACCUGAGAGGGGGAAUCGGCACCAUGGGACUGGGAAACGGGCCCAACCCCCAAGGGGGGGAAGCGUAGGGGAAUUUCCCCAAUGGGGGGAAGCCCUACGGGGGAAACCCCGGGGGGGUAAGAAGGGUCUUGGGUUCGAAAAACCUUUUUUUUAGGAAAAAAAAAAUGGUUAAUAAACUUGGCCCUUUUGGGGGGACCCAAAUAAAAAAGCCGCGGCUAACUCGGG